CGCACGGGUGCGUAACGCGUAUCAAUCUACCUCUAACUGAGGGAUAGCCCAGAGAAAUUUGGAUUAAUACCUCAUAGUAUUAUAGAAAGGCAUCUUUUUAUAAUUAAAACUCCGGUGGUUAGAGAUGAGUAUGCGUCCUAUUAGCUAGUUGGUAAGGUAAUAGCUUACCAAGGCAACGAUAGGUAGGGGGCCUGAAAGGGUGAUCCCCCACACUGGUACUGAGACACGGACCAGACUCCUACGGGAGGCAGCAGUGAGGAAUAUUGCACAAUGGAGGAAACUCUGAUGCAGCCAUGCCGCGUGCAGGAUGAAUGCCCUAUGGGUUGUAAACUGCUUUUAUACAAGAAGAAACAUCAGUACGUGUACUGACUUGACGGUAUUGUACGAAUAAGCACCGGCU
RNAcentral lists this ribosomal RNA (400 nucleotides) under uncultured Bacteroidota bacterium. Its description in RNAcentral is "bacterial SSU rRNA". It matches the Rfam family "Bacterial small subunit ribosomal RNA", at positions 99 to 498 of the family's 1533-position model. Lineage: Bacteria; Pseudomonadati; Bacteroidota. The record is from RNAcentral.